Molecule: ribosomal RNA, 245 nt
Filed under: uncultured Ktedonobacter sp.
Lineage: Bacteria; Bacillati; Chloroflexota; Ktedonobacteria; Ktedonobacterales; Ktedonobacteraceae
Description: partial 16S ribosomal RNA
Rfam family: Bacterial small subunit ribosomal RNA
Source: RNAcentral
UACGUAGGGGGCGAGCGUUGUCCGGAUUUAUUGGGCGUAAAGGGCACGCAGGCGGUCCAUUAAGUUCAGGGUGACAGUCAUCAGCUUAACUGAUGAAGUGCCUUGAAAACUGGUGGACUUGAGAGCGAGAGAGGGACACGGAACUCCGGGUGGAGCAGUGAAAUGCGUAGAGAUCCGGAAGAACACCAAAGGCGAAGGCAGUGUCCUGGCUCGUUUCUGACGCUCAGGUGCGAAAGCGAGGGGAG